CAAAUCUGACCAAACCUUGGGUUGCUCCCUCGAACCUUGGCCCUCUUAGGAACACAUGAGCAAGUGGGUUUCAUUCUGGGUCUCUGCUCCCAAGGGCCGAGAUGAAUGGCAUUUCUGAGAGGCACUUUUACUUCUCAAAGUGCAGAAAUCUAUCCAAGAGCUGGUGUCUACUCAAACACCAGACUGUUUGGGGCAGCAUGCCCAGAAAUGUUGGCAUUUGAGUUGAAAAUGUGCUUAUACAUCCCACUCCACUUCCUGCAUUUGUCUGUGUAGUUAUGGUAUGGAUCUGCAUUUUCAGGCAGAAACAAAAAUACCAUUCCAUCUUCUCCCUUUUACUCAAAGGGUGUUUUGCAGUGUAAGAAAUAAGGAGUCCUUCUGCAUAAGGAACAGCUACCAUUUAUGAUUCCUGUGGAGGAGGAAAAUGGAGUAUCUCCGUUAAAGAAUCAAAAAAGACCCAACAGCACUGAUACCACUGGCAGCCUACACAGACAUCAAAGUGUUACAGAGAGAAACUCAGCUGCCCGAAGGUGAAUGAGAACAAACCAAAGUUUCUGACAGUAGUGCAAACUUGCCUCUGGAGGAAGGGAACCUAUCCCACUACUUAAAGGAGAUGUGUUCUAUCCCUCUAAUUAUCUUGGUGGCCUCCUCUGGACUCGCUCCAACAGAUCCAUGUCCUUCCUGCACUGAGGACCCCAGAGCUGGAUGCUGUACAUGUAUGUGUGUGAGCUGCAGGUUUUCCAGAAUGAAGACAAGCUAGUUCGGGUACCAGUAGCAUUCCUGUGGUAAGCACAAUCUUCCCUGUCAGUUAUAAACCAAUUUAUUCAUGACAGGGACUUCUUCA
This is a non-coding RNA of Taeniopygia guttata (zebra finch), 841 nucleotides long. Lineage: Eukaryota; Metazoa; Chordata; Aves; Passeriformes; Estrildidae. The record is from RefSeq and is a predicted model, not a curated record.